CAGGAGCCGCCACCGAUCAAAGACGUCUUUUUCCAGCUCUGAGUUGCUGAUCUGCGUGGCCGGUGUAGUGUAAUACACUACACUAGCAGUGCUGUUUAGCUGUUUUUUUUGGCCACCAGCCAAUCAGCGAGGGGAACUCUGCUCCUGGAGCAGGGGCUGAGCGACCCCACUGGUGCAGCCCCGCCUCCUUCUCCUACCUGCUUCUUGUAGGCAGCAGGCGUGCUUUCUCUGGCUCUGCAGCUGAGCAGCUCUCAGCCUCCCUUCAACCUCUCACCCAACUAAAGGCAGCCAGUAGCAGCAGCUGGAUGACUGUGGCAGCUGGCACCUGGCCCAAGCGGUCCUCCUCCUGAACGACCACAGUGAGGUCUAUGCCAUUGAACCUGUUGGUUCCCACUCUAUUCUGGUAGGGAUCCCGGGAUUUGACAUCAGAAAUCUGGUCAGGUAAUUAUUUCUGUGUUUUGUCCGGACUGAGGACUGUCCUGUCUCUGUGUCUAUUCGUCCUCCUGGAGUGUUUGAGUCUGGGUGCCAUCUCCAUCCGGGGAUCGGCCGACCAAGGGGUUCCUGUCCUCGUGGUCUGAGUGAGUGAAAUCUGCACAAUCGCAGCCGCACCGCACCUUGGGUAAAACCCUUGGUGUGAAAGCAAGGGCGAUUGAGACAGUAGCCUGUGGGCUCCUUUUGUGUGUUGCACUGGGCAUCGCUCUGACGAACCCGAAUUUCCUUCUUGUGUGAUUGGUGUGGUAAAGUCCUCCUGUAUUGAUAACCAGAUGUCUAAGUUGGGACAGUUCCCCAAAGGAAUGCCGGCUCAGUUUUAGGAAGGGUCCGGACUCCUGUAAAUUUCUGGAAAAAUGGUCUAGGCUAACUCAGGGAGAUCCCAAAACUCAGUGGCCACUGUUAAAAUCUUGGAACAAGGACCGAGAGGACAUCUUAAAAGACAAACUCAGCCAAUCUAAAACUAAAUUGGAAAAGGAGAGGUUAAUUGUUUCAUGAAGUGGUGGGAAGAGGCAAAUCGUAGGUGGACAAAAUCAAAGCUCGCCUCUCUCAAAUAUUCAAAUAAUAAGUUAAAAGCUUUAUUAAAAGCCUCCUCUCCCACCGCCAGACCGAGCGCUCCCCUUUACCCCGUUCUCCGAAAAAAACCCCAACAACCCCGGAUCGAUCCCAACCCUGUCCAUACUCCCAUCUCAUUGUAAAAAGGACAAAAAGCCCCUUGUUCUGUUCCCGUUCAUUGAAUGCCUCAGAAACUGAUUCUUUAGUGUUCCACUACCAAUUCAGCAAGGAGGGUGGGCUCCUCAACUCCCCUUCCUGGUCCCUUUCCUUAAACAUUUCUUUCAAAAUUGUGAAAUGACCACAAUAUCACUCACAAAAACGGUUCAUUGGAAAAAGCAGGAUCGGGCCCAGACAAGCAGGCAAGCAACAGAUAAAGAAACUGAAAAACAGGUUGGAAGCCCUAAGGACAUAGUGUCAGGAGUAAGUGCAAGCAUGAACCCCUGGAACAAUACUUAAAAUGGUGAAAUCUGAGUUGAUAAAGGUGUCGUCUUGGGAAAUAAACAAAUGAUUUAAGGAAAGAGAGUGAAAAGUUAACUCUACAGAGGCUGAAAAGAAUUAAGCAGUUAAACCUUGUAAAAAUGUUAAAAAGGACCUUGUUAAAAGAAUUCUUGGUUUCUUUGCAGCCAUUCUGAAGGAAAAAUGGGCCCUUUUCCAAAAGAGUGUCUGUAAAUAAUCCAGAUAAAGAGACUAUCUAAUUAAAAUCAUUUGACUAUGGACAAUUGAGUCAAAUUUGUUAAAAGAACAUAGGGGGGGUUCUAUUGGAACUUAACUGCUCCAAAUGUAUAAAGGUAAUGUAAUUUAUGUACAGCUAUGUAAAAACAAAGCAGUGUAAAAGGGAUGUUAAGUAAACGAAAAUGUGUAUGUAUCCAUCUGUCUGUGGGAAUAUGUGAGGUUUGUAAAACUCCUGUUUUGUAGGUUUAAGAUAAAUUGGUUUUGUUUUGUUUAUAAUGCCACUAAAAAUCCAUUUGACUCUUUAAUUCAAAGUUGCAAAACUGACAGACCUUUUUGCCAGACACAGGUAAUCAGUGGUGGUUGGCUUUGAGAUUUGGUAUUUAACCCUUAAGGGGUAACUUGAUUCUUUACAAAAUUUAAAUGUUUUCAAAUAAAGACCAAGUCAUGACUGCAGCAGGGCAGUCAAAAUCAGAAGAAUAGGGAGGGAUUCUGGAUUCUUUUUUGUUUGUUUGUUUGUUUGUUUUUGUAACAAAAUAGCAGAUGAAAGCUGUAGUAAAAGAAUAAAGACAGUGCCCCUCUGAAGCAACAGCAGGGGUGAGGUGCACAAAACAAAAAGAAGCAAUGUUAGAAACACUGAGCCUUAAAAUGGCUCUGUGUAAUCAGACUGUCACUUUGAUAAGGGUACAUAAAACUCUGUAAGAACAAAAGAAACAGUUACACCUUAUGUAAAACUUAAUAUGGCUAAUGUUUUAAAAGUUAAAGUAUAGAAGGAAUGUGCAGACACGUGCAGUGUAUAUUAUAGAGGGGGUAAAAGAAAUGCAAAGGAAACAUGUUACUUAAUUAAAAUCCUAUUAGGGCUCCAAAGGAGCCACAAUAGACUGUGUUUUCUUUUUCAGCUCUCUGUGUGUUUUGGAAGCAAGAGUUAAAAGUAAUCAAAACUCUGGUAAAAGUUAAUUGUGUUCCUUUUAAGACAGAGUCUCUGAGCUCUGCUGAUGGCUUUGAAUCCAAAAGCCAAGCCUGUGUUGAUGCAAAUUACCUAACUGAUAAAGGAAGUGAGAGAUCUGCCAGCGCAAAUAAGUUGCAAAUAAAGAACAUACCUGGUCAGCAAACAAAUUGUCUAAAUAAAAGGCACGGUAUAACAAAAUACCUUUAAUUAGAAUAAAUUUAAUGUUAAUAAGUACCCCUGUAACAAUGUAUAGUGUGUAUGAUUUUUGGAAAAAUCCUUUAUGGUAAUGAUGCUUUUCAGCUGUUACCUGUAAGCAAACUUAGAGCUUAACACAGCAGGAAAGACAUUGUAAACUUGGUCUGCUGUAAAGGGAAAACUGAGGUACACCACCUCAUGGAUUUAAUGACUGAACAGUGGGAUAAUUUCCCCAUAACUCUUAAAAGAUAGAAACCAUUGAAACCUGGCCUGCCUAUAGAACAAAAACACAGGAAAAUAUGGAGGUAAUUCCUCUUGUUUUGCCUGCAAUCAGCAAGGGUAUUUGUAAAAGAAAGGAAUAUUUUAAGCAAUAAUAAAUGCCACCCCAAAAGGGGUAGAAAAAUGUUAUUUUUGUCUUUCAGAAAAAGCUAAUAUCAGCUACAGGACAACCUAAUAAGAAACAAAUAAAAGUGGGUAUGAUUAUCCAUGCCUGUUGCUCCAAAGCCCUGUAGUAAAGAAUCUCACUAGGAUCCUGUAUGUGGGAUAAAAUGAAUAAUGAGAACAAAGUACUGUAUAAUGGGCUAUGUGUAUGUGUUAAUUCUUGGAGGAAAAGUGUUUUAAAAGAAUGGAAGUGUUAGCAACCUUCCAAUAGACAAAUGUAAAUGUAAUGUAAGUAUUGUGUUUACAAAAGGUAAAAAGAUAACAUAGUUCCUAAAACAAACAAAAAGGCAAUGUGGGAAACUGACCCAUUCAUAUUAUACACGCAAAUGUGAACAUGUUAAGAAUUGCCACUGCAGAAAGACAUAACUGCUUUCCAUUGAUAUAACAUAUUUUCUGAAUGGUCUCCCACAACUAACGGCAUACUAAUGUUACUAACCCUAAUUGCUUUUGGUUUUAAAUUGUAUGUGGGUUUAAUUGGAAUGUUUGAAAUGUGCUGUUGGAUAAAACAAAUGUAUGCAAAGCUAGAGGCACAGGCCCAAAUCUCCUCCCAGUAUUUUCUAUUACAUGGACUAAAUAAGAAGUGACACUGGCGAUUAAUAAUCUUAGUGUCAAAAGGGGGGAUAUGUAGGAGCAGGAUUUUAUAAUGUCCCAUAAGAAUUAAUGUAUGAUUUGAUUUCAUCCUGUCAGCCACCCUUUUUGAAUAGCAGAAAGGAAUGACAGACCAGAACAAUCCUUAUGACUGAUUAUGGUCACCCUUUUGUUUUAGAAUAAGUUAUAAUGUCUACUGUGGUUUCCUAUAUAUAUUACGAAGUAGGCAGUCUAGUUAAAUAUACAUUUCUUUAUUUUAAGGUUUAGUAAGUAAGAAACAGGAUUCUCUAUUGUGUCUGUUAAGUAGAUUAGAGGAACAUUGAAGGCCUGGGUCUCAAUGUAAAUUGUCUUGGUUAUUGAUUGUAAAACUUAGCAAGGUUUAAUUUGCAAUGCCUUUUUGCUCGAUAUAAAAUACUACUGUUUGUAUUCUCAA
This is a long non-coding RNA of Malaclemys terrapin pileata, 4319 nucleotides long. RefSeq lists it as uncharacterized. The transcript has 2 exons. NCBI's taxonomy places the organism in Eukaryota, Metazoa, Chordata, Testudines, Emydidae. The record is from RefSeq and is a predicted model, not a curated record.